This is a non-coding RNA of Pelobates cultripes (western spadefoot toad), 86 nucleotides long. The record is from the annotation of a GenBank genome assembly. NCBI's taxonomy places the organism in Eukaryota, Metazoa, Chordata, Amphibia, Anura, Pelobatidae.
CAUGGACCACCAACAGUCCAGGUUUUGUCAGUAUCCAUUGGAAUAAAACAGGGAAAUACAUAAAUCCUGGACUGUUGGUGGUCCCU